Molecule: ribosomal RNA, 462 nt
Filed under: uncultured delta proteobacterium
Lineage: Bacteria; Deltaproteobacteria
Description: bacterial SSU rRNA
Rfam family: Bacterial small subunit ribosomal RNA
Source: RNAcentral
UGCUUAAUACAUGCAAGUCGAACGAGAAAGCCCUUCGGGGUGAGUAGAGUGGCGCACGGGUGCGUAACACGUAGGUGAUCUGCCUAUUAGUGGGGAAUAACCAGUGGAAACGCUGGCUAAUACCGCAUGUGCUGGAUGACAUUGGAAAAAUCCAGUAAAGGGGGCUUCGGCUCUCGCUAAUAGAUGAGCCUGCGGUACAUUAGCUUGAUGGUGGGGUAACGGCCUACCAUGGCGAUGAUGUAUAGCUGGUCUGAGAGGAUGAUCAGCCACACUGGAACUGAGACACGGUCCAGACUCCUACGGGAGGCAGCAGUAGGGAAUAUUGCGCAAUGGGGGAAACCCUGACGCAGCAAUACCGCGUGAGUGAGGAAGGCUUUCGGGUUGUAAAGCUCUGUUAAUAGGGAAGAACGGCUUAUCGGUNAAUACCCGGUAGGUUUGACGGUACCUAUAGAGGAAGCACCG